Molecule: non-coding RNA, 167 nt
Filed under: uncultured Cetobacterium sp.
Lineage: Bacteria; Fusobacteriati; Fusobacteriota; Fusobacteriia; Fusobacteriales; Fusobacteriaceae
Description: Lysine riboswitch
Rfam family: Lysine riboswitch aptamer
About the family: Riboswitches are metabolite binding domains within certain messenger RNAs that serve as precision sensors for their corresponding targets. Allosteric rearrangement of mRNA structure is mediated by ligand binding, and this results in modulation of gene expression. This family includes riboswitches that sense lysine in a number of genes involved in lysine metabolism, including lysC.
Source: RNAcentral
UUAGGUAGAGGUUGCGAAUAACAAGAGUAACUCAAUAGAGCUGGACAGAGCGAUGAAAUUGAGUGAAAGGGGAAUUCGCCGAAAUGAAGAUUAUGUCAAAAUCUUUGUUGGGCAUGUGAAAAAUAUUCACAUGACUGUCGUCAGAUAAAAUCUGAUGUUGUGCUAUC